This 1087-nucleotide long non-coding RNA is filed under the name Gallus gallus (chicken). Its description in RNAcentral is "lncRNA (ENSGALG00010011547.1)". The record is from RNAcentral. Lineage: Eukaryota; Metazoa; Chordata; Aves; Galliformes; Phasianidae.
CAAGAGGGUUGUGGCACUUGUGGUUUAUUUUAGAGGUGGUUUAUUCUCUGAAAAGAAAAAAAAAAAGAAAGAAAGAAACAGAAGAAAAAAAAAGAAAGAAAGAAAGAAACAUUCUGAAAUUUUCACAUGGAAUAGAGAUCUCGUCUGCGUCCUGCUGAGUUGCUUUAAAGAGCAACACAAGAGGCAUUCACACAAUCUACUCUGGCAGAACAGUGACGGAGGCAAUAACUUCUAGAAAGAGGGCAGCUGAGGACAGAGAUUUCUACCAAACAGUACAUUUGGAUCUGGAAGAGGAUAUCUGUCCACAUUCCAUUCUUCCUUAAACUAAAAUGACAAGACUUGGUGUCCUAACCUCAGAACGAUUCUAUGGAUUACCAUUUUGCAAAACCUCUCUGAACAAGAGAUGUAUUAUUCCCAUUUUGGAUGAGAGAAGUCAACGUGGGAUUGCUUCCCUGAGUUACCUGGAAAGUGUGACGCUGAAAGAGUAUUUCACCUCAAAGCUCCUGCAGCCCUUUCCACAGGAACAUUUCUUCUACCUAAGCAUUAAUUGUUUUCCUAAUCCCACUCUCCCUCCUAAUCCCAUUCUCCCCCAAAGGAGAAUAGCUAAAUGUAAAAGAAAGCAAGGUAAAACAGUUACAGGUGUCUAGAACGGCUCAGUACUUGUGCUGUAUUUGCCUGUAUAGUGCUCCUUCUGUCUUGCCCAUUUAGGCAAACGUUGUCUCUUUGUAUGCUCCCACACUUUGUGUUUAAUGAUACUGCCCUUAUGUCUUCUACCUCUGAUACAAGAUCCUGAAAAAAAAAAAAAAAAGAAAAAAAAGUAUUUUUCAACUUGAAUGGAAUUCUUUUGUCCAGUCUAAAGUUGCGCUUCACUCCUCAGUGUUCCUUGCCUGCCAAAGGAAAAUUAAAAAAAUAAAUAAAAAAGAAAUUUAAAAGUAUGUUUUCAUUUGCAAACAUUUAAGACUAAUGUAAGGCUACUCACUUUGGAAAAAAACAAAACCAUUUGCAGGGUAUGGUGCACGUGUGUUGGGGAGGGGAGAUAGGGAGAUAUUCAUGUUUCAGAAUUUUCUAAAUCUACUUUUUUUUGAAA